Triticum dicoccoides is the source of this 1870-nucleotide long non-coding RNA. RefSeq lists it as uncharacterized. The record is from RefSeq and is a predicted model, not a curated record. The transcript is spliced from 3 exons. Lineage: Eukaryota; Viridiplantae; Streptophyta; Magnoliopsida; Poales; Poaceae.
AGGGCUGCUUGGCUGAUCAUAUGGUGAGCAUGUCGUCGCGCACUAGGAGCGACAGGGGAUGUUCUACCGAAGAUUCCUGUCACUUCAAUAUGAGGUGCAAUAUUUUAAAUCUUUUAUCUGAGGUAAAUGAUGGUUGAAGUAUGACCGUUUUUAUGUUGUUAAAUAUACACGAGAAAUUGUCAUGUAAUUCUUGACACCUUGACCGGGAAGUGAAGCAUUUCGAAGUUCCUACCUCCUUUUCCGUAGUAAGAUGAACCCUGAAAUGAGUAAUACUGCCAGUGCACAUAUCUUUUCAUUUGUGCCGCGGCAAUGUUUUAAGUGUUGGAUGCUUCAAAUCUAUGCCAAUUUGCUGUUGGGUAGAUGCAUCAUUCAUUCAUACAAGCACCUUGGAACUGAUAAAAUACCCAGUUUGUUGCAAUUAUUGUGUCUUGCACAGCGUAAAAAUUUUCUGUUGCGAAGUAAGAUGUAACCAAUUAACUUGUUAGACCUAAAAAUUGUUGCUGCCAUUUUUUAACCUUGAUUAAAGCAAGGGACUAGUGUGGCCUCCACAUAGUGAGGCAUACGUAAGAUAAUAUUUCCUUAAGUGGAUACCUAUGAGUCCUAUCUGAACAAACCUUAUGACAGCGAAGGUUUGAUGAGGUGUCCUGACAGUGAAAGUUUGAUGACGAGCCACGAUGGACAAGUAGUAGUAUUUAAGCAAUCGUCUUUGAAGUUCUAACAAACGAGAGUAAUGGGAAAGACAUCACCUUAUGCUGUUUCAUUUCUCUUAAGGUUUAUCUAUGGGGUUAUGCAGAUACUCACCAAAGUUGCUUUUAACCAAGGUACAAGUACAUAUGUUCUUGUUUUCUACAGGCAUGUAAUAGCUACAAUGUUGUUACUGCCCAUUGCUUUUGCAACUGAAAGGAAAACCGCCCCACAACUGUCACACAAAGUCUGUCUGAAGCUAUUUGUGCAUGCAUUAUAUGGGGUGUCUGCUUCUCUAAACAUAUCAUUUGUUGGCCUCAAUUAUGCUUCAGCAACUUCUGCUACUGCAGUACAAAAUGUCCAACCAGUGUUAACUUUCUUUUUGGCUCUUCUAUUGGGGUAUGUGUUUUUAAUGAUGAUUGCAUUACUUCCUUGAAGGCUAGGCCAUUUCUUUUCUUUCCCUUGUGACAAUUAAAUUUUAAACACGUCAUAAAGCUAAUGUUAGUAAAUUUGUAUUUAGGAUACCCAUACAUAAGUAACACGAAUAUGUUAUAUACAGAAGAAUAGCUUGCAUAAACGUCUGAUUAUGAGAAUCAGUGACGGACAUAGUUGAGAUUGUAGUUUAGAGAUGUUUUGCAGCCUAACGAAAUGGUUAUAUUGUAAUGUUUAUAACUCUUCAUGUUAAGAUCACAGGAAAGAAAAAUAUUCCUUUUGCUCUAGGAAACUACACAAUUGUUCAGAGAAGAAAUAUAAUAAUUAAUUCAGUUCUACAUGUUGUAUCAAUAGCAAGAUCAUCGUAGACCCUACUACCAAACCCAACCUAGCCGGUCCUAAACCAGGCCCAAAAGCUUGCCUGACCAUUUUUCGGCCGGAAAACUGUAGGGGCCUAGUCAAGCUUAAUUGCGACGACUAGACUCAGCUUCUAUCAAACUUUAGACAAAGGGUGGAGAUAACAUCUUUGAGUGAUACCUUUUUCUCUCAUUAACAUUGCUUCAAUAAAAUAAUUACAAAGAUUUAUAUUUAUUUAUAGUGGGACUGCUAAUCAAUUGCUAUUGCUUAUGUUCGCGUGAAAUCAGUUGUUUAACGUGAACAAUUAGUUGUUGAUUGUUUUUGAGAUCGCUAAUGAACCAUCAGUUGUGUAAACCUACUUCUGUGUAGAUGUGAGUACUUUGAUGAACUUGGUGUA